AUGGAGGAAAAAUUAGAGAGAGAAGUAAAGUUGUUCGAUGCCAGUGGGCAGACUGUGAUGACUCAGACUUCAGAAUCCCAGGCAGUGUCUCCAGGAGACAGAGUCACCAUCAACUGCAAAACCAGUACCAGUGUUAGCAGCUACAUGGCCUGGUACCAACUGAAAUCAGGACACGCUCCUAAGCUCUUCUUAUAUAGUGCUUCCACCCGUGUCUCUGGUGUUCCAGACCGGUUCAGUGGCAGUGGGUCUGACACUGACUUCACCUUCACAAUCAGCCACGUAGAAGCUGAUGCUGCUGGAGAUUAUUAUUGUCAAGGCUAUAACUCUCACA
Terrapene triunguis (Three-toed box turtle) is the source of this 331-nucleotide non-coding RNA. NCBI's taxonomy places the organism in Eukaryota, Metazoa, Chordata, Testudines, Emydidae. The record is from the annotation of a RefSeq genome assembly.